This is a long non-coding RNA of Macadamia integrifolia, 848 nucleotides long. RefSeq lists it as uncharacterized. Lineage: Eukaryota; Viridiplantae; Streptophyta; Magnoliopsida; Proteales; Proteaceae. The record is from RefSeq and is a predicted model, not a curated record. The transcript has 2 exons.
UCCACCUAAUAUAUAAUGUUCUUUUGAGUUCUGAAGAUGAACAGAGCAGAGAAACAAGGGAGAUGGCAAGGGAGAUGGAUCACUGGGAGUUUUGGGAUUGGGAUGGUUGGCAAGAAGAUAGGAAUGUCUGUUGUUUCUCUUCAUAGAAUCCUUUUAAAUCUUCUUGCCCAACCCUCCCAUUCCCAUGAUUUCCAGGUUUUCUUCUCUUACCUCUUCUUUCAAUACUCUAAAUUCCCCAUCUUCAAGAAAUAAAGGAAGCGUAAGUAAGCAGCAAUCAUAGAAAUUCUGGAAUUUGCUGGGAUGGAGGGCUGGGAAAGUGGAGGAAAAUAAAAAUGGAAUCUUCAAUCUUCCCCAGACCCCCCAUACCAACAAUUUCUAGUUUUUCCUGCCUUUCCCUCUUUUUCUACGUCCUUCGCUCCUCAAGUAGUGAUGGGUUCUCCAUCUAGAUCCAAAUUCAGGGUUGUUUUUCUUCACCCAAGAAGCAGAGGAAGCAGAACUGGGUCUGACCAAAAGUUAUCUGAAGGGAUUCCCUUGGAUCACAGAUCUCAUUCCAGGACAGAAUCCUUUUAACCGGUCAGCAUCAGCUAGAGAUCAUGCCAACUGGGUUGUUCUAGGUUCUACAAGAGAACAAGUAACACAAGAAAAAUGGAAACUGGGUUCUGAUCAGAUCAAAAAUAUGUGUGACUAUGUAGACAUUUUUGGUGGGAGGAUUUCUUCGUGUUUCUAGUAGUUUCAGUAUUUCGUGUCGUUUACAGAGUUUUUGCAGUCCUGUAAUGGGGUUAGUUGUAAGACUCUUUUCUUUUCUUUUCCUCCUCAAGUUAACAAGAAAUUAAUGGUCUUGUCUAUAA